CCCACUGACAACUUUGUAAAGAAUGUCUCC
This 30-nucleotide non-coding RNA is filed under the name Mus musculus (house mouse). The record is from RNAcentral. Lineage: Eukaryota; Metazoa; Chordata; Mammalia; Rodentia; Muridae.